RNAcentral lists this ribosomal RNA (685 nucleotides) under uncultured bacterium. Its description in RNAcentral is "bacterial SSU rRNA". It matches the Rfam family "Bacterial small subunit ribosomal RNA", at positions 77 to 762 of the family's 1533-position model. The record is from RNAcentral.
UAGCAAUACAGGAGGCAGGCGCGUGGCGAACGGGUGCGUAACACGUGGAUAACCUUCCUUUAGGUGGGGAAUAACCCAGUGAAAAUUGGGCUAAUACCGCAUAACAUGACGAUGGCACAUGCUGUUGUCUUCAAAGCCGCAAGGCGCCAGAAGAGGGAUCCGCGGCCGAUUAGCUUGUUGGCGAGGUAAUGGCUCACCAAGGCAAUGAUCGGUAGCCGGUCUGAGAGGAUGAUCGGCCACACUGGAGCUGAGACACGGUCCAGACUCCUACGGGAGGCAGCAGUGGGGAAUCUUGCGCAAUGGGCGAAAGCCUGACGCAGCAACGCCGCGUGGGGGAUGAAGCUUCUCGGAGUGUAAACCCCUUUCGACCCGGACGAAUGCCCGCAAGGGUUUGACGGUACGGGUAUAAGAAGCCCCGGCUAACUACGUGCCAGCAGCCGCGGUAAAACGUAGGGGGCCAGCGUUGCUCGGAAUUACUGGGCGUAAAGGGUCCGUAGGCGGUGUGGCAAGUCGGAAGUGAAAUCUCUGGGCUUAACUCAGAGGCUGCUCCCGAAACUGCUGUGCUAGAGUGCGAGAGAGGCGAGUGGAAUUGCGGGUGUAGCGGUGAAAUGCGUAGAUAUCCGCAGGAACAUCCGAGGCGAAGGCGGCUCGCUGGAUCGCAACUGACGCUGAGGGACGAAAGCUA